RNAcentral lists this ribosomal RNA (623 nucleotides) under uncultured bacterium. RNAcentral describes it as "bacterial SSU rRNA". The stretch from base 1 to 534 matches the Rfam family "Bacterial small subunit ribosomal RNA", at positions 338 to 873 of the family's 1533-position model. The record is from RNAcentral.
CCUACGGGAGGCAGCAGUAGGGAAUAUUGGGCAAUGGAGGCAACUCUGACCCAGCCAUGCCGCGUGCAGGAUGAAGGCGUUAUGCGUUGUAAACUGCUUUUAUAUAGGAAGAAAUAGACCUUGCGAGGUAAGUUGACGGUACUAUAUGAAUAAGCACCGGCUAACUCCGUGCCAGCAGCCGCGGUAAUACGGAGGGUGCAAGCGUUGUCCGGAUUUAUUGGGUUUAAAGGGUGCGUAGGCGGUUUAUUAAGUCAGUGGUGAAAGACGGUCGCUCAACGAUUGCAGUGCCAUUGAUACUGGUAGACUUGAGUGUGAUUGAGGUAGCUGGAAUGGAUAGUGUAGCGGUGAAAUGCAUAGAUAUUAUCCAGAACACCAAUUGCGUAGGCAAGUUACUAAGUCACAACUGACGCUGAGGCACGAAAGUGUGGGUAUCAAACAGGAUUAGAUACCCUGGUAGUCCACACUGUAAACGAUGAUAACUAACUGUUGGCUUUUGGGUCUAGUGUAGAGAGAAAGUAGUUAAGUUAGUACACCGUGGGUAGGUACGCGGCGAACGUUAGAAACGUAACGAANAGAGUUAGACGGACGNGAGAGNGCGACGGACGACGACGAGGGAGGAGGAG